GCAAAUUGUCUUUUUGGAUUAACAAGGAGAAAACAUCCCAUUUCUAAAACAUGCGAAAAAAUAAAUCGGUGCAACAUCUACAAAUCAUCGCAUGAUGAUAACAGCACAGAUAGGCUUUCUAACUCUAAAAGUCACAGAUAUGCGGAGACCACGAGACCUAACCCAUUGGUAUAAUGAUGGUGUCUCCUUCUUCCAUCAAAGAUCAACUGUAUGCACAAGAAUAACCAUAAGAACCUCAUGGAAUUCUUAAAAUAUAACACCAGAAACACACUUGGCCUACGGUUACAAGAAGGAACACCCUAACUGACAACUGGC
Stegodyphus dumicola is the source of this 315-nucleotide long non-coding RNA. NCBI's taxonomy places the organism in Eukaryota, Metazoa, Arthropoda, Arachnida, Araneae, Eresidae. The record is from RefSeq and is a predicted model, not a curated record.